UUGUGAGGUUAAGCGACUAAGCGUACACGGUGGAUGCCCUGGCAGUCAGAGGCGAUGAAGGACGUGCUAAUCUGCGAUAAGCGUCGGUGAGGUGAUAUGAACCGUUAUAACCGGCGAUUUCCGAAUGGGGAAACCCAGUGUGUUUCGACACACUAUCAUUAACUGAAUCCAUAGGUUAAUGAGGCGAACCGGGGGAACUGAAACAUCUAAGUACCCCGAGGAAAAGAAAUCAACCGAGAUUCCCCCAGUAGCGGCGAGCGAACGGGGAGGAGCCCAGAGCCUGAAUCAGUGUGUGUGUUAGUGGAAGCGUCUGGAAAGGCGUGCGAUACAGGGUGACAGCCCCGUACACAAAAAUGCACAUAUUGUGAGCUCGAUGAGUAGGGCGGGACACGUGGUAUCCUGUCUGAAUAUGGGGGGACCAUCCUCCAAGGCUAAAUACUCCUGACUGACCGAUAGUGAACCAGUACCGUGAGGGAAAGGCGAAAAGAACCCCGGCGAGGGGAGUGAAAAAGAACCUGAAACCGUGUACGUACAAGCAGUGGGAGCCUCUUUAUGGGGUGACUGCGUACCUUUUGUAUAAUGGGUCAGCGACUUAUAUUCUGUAGCAAGGUUAACCGAAUAGGGGAGCCGAAGGGAAACCGAGUCUUAACUGGGCGUUAAGUUGCAGGGUAUAGACCCGAAACCCGGUGAUCUAGCCAUGGGCAGGUUGAAGGUUGGGUAACACUAACUGGAGGACCGAACCGACUAAUGUUGAAAAAUUAGCGGAUGACUUGUGGCUGGGGGUGAAAGGCCAAUCAAACCGGGAGAUAGCUGGUUCUCCCCGAAAGCUAUUUAGGUAGCGCCUCGUGAAUUCAUCUCCGGGGGUAGAGCACUGUUUCGGCAAGGGGGUCAUCCCGACUUACCAACCCGAUGCAAACUGCGAAUACCGGAGAAUGUUAUCACGGGAGACACACGGCGGGUGCUAACGUCCGUCGUGAAGAGGGAAACAACCCAGACCGCCAGCUAAGGUCCCAAAGUCAUGGUUAAGUGGGAAACGAUGUGGGAAGGCCCAGACAGCCAGGAUGUUGGCUUAGAAGCAGCCAUCAUUUAAAGAAAGCGUAAUAGCUCACUGGUCGAGUCGGCCUGCGCGGAAGAUGUAACGGGGCUAAACCAUGCACCGAAGCUGCGGCAGCGACACUAUGUGUUGUUGGGUAGGGGAGCGUUCUGUAAGCCUGUGAAGGUGGCCUGUGAGGGUUGCUGGAGGUAUCAGAAGUGCGAAUGCUGACAUAAGUAACGAUAAAGCGGGUGAAAAGCCCGCUCGCCGGAAGACCAAGGGUUCCUGUCCAACGUUA
This 1331-nucleotide ribosomal RNA is filed under the name Escherichia coli. Its description in RNAcentral is "partial 23S ribosomal RNA". It matches the Rfam family "Bacterial large subunit ribosomal RNA", at positions 1 to 1367 of the family's 2925-position model. The record is from RNAcentral. Lineage: Bacteria; Pseudomonadati; Pseudomonadota; Gammaproteobacteria; Enterobacterales; Enterobacteriaceae.